Mustela lutreola (European mink) is the source of this 4191-nucleotide long non-coding RNA. RefSeq lists it as uncharacterized. Lineage: Eukaryota; Metazoa; Chordata; Mammalia; Carnivora; Mustelidae. The record is from RefSeq and is a predicted model, not a curated record. The transcript is spliced from 4 exons.
CGAAGAUCAGAGAGGUUAAACAACUCGCCCAAGGUCACCAGCUGGGCAGGGGGAGCCCAACUUGAAAGGAGGUCUCCAGUUUCCAAGUCACAAGCUCUUUCCACCAGCUCGGAAAACCCAGGUGUCAAGUUGUCUCAACUUCCCAUGAAUUUUUAAGGCAACCGCAACUUCUCACUGUCUCACCGCAGGUACCUGAUAAAUCAUUCCAUAUCGCCCGCGGAACGGGGAGGAUUUAUUGGCGCUGGAGUUCGUGCCAGGCCCAGGAAAUGCCAUCUUUGAAAGCCGAGAGGCGGAUUCGCCCUGGGAGCCGAGGUCUGGCCGCCGCGCUUGGCUGGCUCCCCGCGGGCGGUGCGCCCCCUCGGCGCCCCGGGCUGGGGUCGUCGCGGUGCUGGGCCCUCCAGCUUCGCCGGCCACGUCCACCCCUGCCCGGGUCGGAGCGCACGCCCACGCCCCGCCGCCGCCGCCGCCGCGUCCCGGCCGCCCGCCCGGGACUGAGCCCCACCCCGCCCCGCUUGCUCACUCCCGGCACGGCCCCGCCAGUGAUUUUAUGCUGAGGAAUGUCAAACAGACCACGUUGAACAAAUCUUUAAAACGAGGACGAGUCCUGCCCAGCUGGGGUCCUGCUGACUUUCACACCAGUGCUCGUCCCGUUCCACUAGGAAUGGCUGGAGCUGUACAGCCCUGCCUGUCCCUGCAGUGUCCCAGCUCCUGCACGCCCGCACGUGGCACACAGUAAGUGCUCAAAAACUGUUUGUGGGAUGGAUAUGUGAAUGGAGGGAUGGACUGAUGUUUGGAACCGUCCGGUCCGGACUAAGGUGCCCGAGGUCCAGGUGGCCGGUCUGCCCAGGGCCAUUCGGCAGCCUCCCGGAACACCUGGCACCUCAUCUAGGUCCUUGUCCCCGGGGAGCGCCACUGCAAGCGGGCGCCGCCUGAGCGUCGCGUCGGGGGGAAUUCCGACGGAGUCAAGGAGUCCUAGGAACAGGACCCGCCCCGAGCCCUGCCCGGCCCUUUGGUCGCUCGCAAAACCUGGAGCCGCGGCUUAGGUCCAGAGCCCCACUGCGAAGGACGGGGAGUUCACUGGGCAUGCUCGGAGCCGGGCGGGGCCCGAGUGCCGGGGAGGAGGAGUCUCCCGGUGUGGCCGGCGACGCCCCCGGCAGAGCCCGGCGGAGUCCCGCGGGACGCUCAGCCCCCGCUUUGUUCUCGACGGUUUCGGGCGGAGGGGGGGGGGUCUGAGGGCCCUUUUUUAAAAGCUUAGGAAGAAAGCUGGGGAUUCGGAGUCCUCGAAGGGCGUUCUCUGCCUUCUCCGCUGUGUGAUCUGGGCCAAGCGCCAUACCCUCUCUGUGCUUCCAGUAACAAGAAAACCCAUCACUUGGAUCUGGGCAGAAUGUGGGGACUGAAUGAAAUAAAACACUUGAACAUGUUUAAUCCACUUUAAAAAUCCAUUUUGUGAGUGCCUUCCUCAGUUAUCUGUCAUCUGCAAACCAGUUUGCCAAGUGCUAAUAUGAGGAAGCGUAAAUUAAUGGACAUGGGAAUUUUUGGAGUUAGGUCUCAGUUUGCCUUCCACCACAAACUAGGCUGAAACUAUCUUCUUCCACACGUGCAACAGUCGUGAGCUUAAACAGUGCUCUAAGUUCGAACUCAAAAAUAUCUGCACAUCUAAGGGGAAAAAAAGACCUAAGUCGUUUAAAAACCGUGCAUUUCCAUCACCAUAACAGAAGCAGGAAUAAAAGGAGAGAAUAGUCCCCAAACUGGAUACAAAUGAACGCUCCCAAAUAGUCAAAGAGUGGAAUGAUUAGUUAGGUUAUGGUAUGUUUGUUGAAAUAAUAACUAGUUUAUAAUAAGCUAGACCAUAAUGCAACAGGGGAAAACUUAAAAUACAAUGUUGCGGGGGUUGGGGGGAGGGGUGGAGACGAAAACACAAAUAUGAUGCAUAAAGAUUAUGUCUACGCAUUCGCCCAGACUAGAAGGAAAUAUGGGAAAAUAUAAAUAGUUCAGUUUUGGAGGGUAGUGAGGUUAGUUCCUCUUUUUAAGUUUAUUACUAAAAAAUAUAUAAAAAUAACCCAAGAAACAAAGUUGACCUAUUACUGUCACACUGUUGUGUUUGUGAUAAUAAACAUUAAAAGACCAAAUUAAAAAUUUGUGAAGUUUUGUGAAAGUCUAAUCAUAAUAAUAACAAUAAUUACUAUUGUUAAGCUCAAGUGUGCUUGAUAUUGUGUCUUUAAUCCUUACAGUCACUAUCUAGGAUGCUUGUUUCUGGCUCAGUUUUACAGAAGAGGAAAUAAUCUAGGAGCCAUUCAGAGCUAGUAAGAUACAGGGUCAGGACUGAAUACAGUUGGUCUGACCUCAAAACCAGGGUAUUAGGUUUUGCUUCUCUGUGUGGCAGCUUACCAUGUAUUGAUCAGAAGAGAAACCACCUAUCAUUUCAUUUUGUGUCCUUUUUUGCUUUAUUAUCUCUACCCUUUGAUGUUUUUGUAGGCUGCAGAUUGCUUUUAAAUGUUCUGGUCUCCUGUUACUAUUUUAGUGUUGGAGCCAAAAUGUUAAAGUCCAUUCUUUUUCGCUGUUGCACCUGGAGUGACAUGAUGUUAUUAUCAGUGGUGACAACUGAUCUUCGGUCCUAAGCUCCCAAACUUUAUGGAUAUGAAGCUUUUGGAUGGACACAUAACCUUCUUAGUCUAUGUGGUUGAACCCAGCCAAAUCGAGAGCAAGUAGAGGCUUCAUCAGAGGGUAAGGCCAGCCCAAGUCUCAGAUGAGGAGGCCAGUCCGGACAUAGAUGAUUCUUCCUGCAUAAUCAUGUUGGAGUCAGAAUCACAACAUAAUGGAACUACCUGGUCCAUGGACUCCUCAGAACUUUGUUGCGAUGAAAAGAUACAAGGCCGAUAGUCCUGAUGAUGUUUGCUAAGAGAAAUCCAGGGCCCUAAGAGCAGCCCUCCUGUUGAUAACCAAAACCAGAAACAAACAAACAAACAAACAAAAACACCCAAAAAAACCCCAGCUCGCUCUUUUAGUAGUGCUGGUCAACUGUUCCUGGCCCAGAAAUCACUAAACAACAAGAAACACACACACAGGGGUGCCUGGGUGGCUCAGUGGGUUAAAGCCUCUGUUUUCUGCUCAGGUUGUGAUCCCAGGGUCCUGGGAUUGAGCCCCUCAGAGGGGAGCCUCCCUUCUCUCUGCCUGCCUCUCUGCCUACUUGUGAUCUCUUACUUGUGUCAAAUAAAUAAAUAAAAUCUUAAAAAAGAAAAAAAAAAAAAAAGAAACACACACAAAACCAAAGAGGGUCAUUUCGUUGGAGAGGAAGGUAUGCCACAAACCCAAUAGCAUCACUGGUAAUGGGCCAGAUUCAGGCAAAAGGAAUGCGAGAUGCCCAAUUGGACACAGUUAUUAGUGUAUUCCCGGAAGCUGCUGGGUUCGGAAGAAAUCUGGUGCCCAGCACCAGACACAGGCAAUUGGCUGGGGGCAUUUACAGGAAGAGUUUCCUGGAAGGAUCACUGAGGAUCGGCAUUCACAGCAAGGCUCAGGAAGUCUGGGCACCAUGUGGACUGUUUCAGAGCUGGGCUCCCAGCUGAGAUGCUAAUGCUCAUCAAUUAUUUGUAUGUUAAUGCAAACUCCUGAAGGGCUGAAGCCCCAGCAAAUACGCGGGCAAGUGGUGCUGUUGCAAUGACAAGGGAGAAGAAUACAGGGUAAAAUUAUAUACGCAGUGUGGCUUCCACUCUGAAUUACUGAGUUAAACCAUAUAAAACGGCCAUUUUGUGGGUCAGUAAUGGUUGAACGUGGGCAGCUUUCUGUAUUUCAACCGAAUUCAUACACAUAGAAAAAAAGAUGAAAAAGAACCGCACCGAAAUAUUAAUGGCGACUCUCCGAACCUUGCAUUUACAAGCAGAGAAACAAGAUAGGGAAGGUAUCUUUUAUAAACCUGGAGAACCUCAAGGCUUUGGGCAUCUAUUUCUUUGCUAUGUCUUUACAGUUCCCUAAAUCUUAUUCUUAUGGCGUGUUUCCUUCAUUAUCAGGAAAAGUGAAACCAACUUUAAGAGUCGGCAAGCCAAACAAAAUGAUGUAUGGAGGGAAAACAGCUACUCUGGAAUCACACACAGAUGGGAGAGUUUCCUUUCACAGAGCAUGAAGACCAUCGUGCCCUGUCCAGCACAGGCAGAGGAUGAUAGAUUGUCUGUUCCUGGCCCAGGAGGGAAGGAAGAG